RNAcentral lists this ribosomal RNA (254 nucleotides) under uncultured bacterium. RNAcentral describes it as "partial 16S ribosomal RNA". It matches the Rfam family "Bacterial small subunit ribosomal RNA", at positions 524 to 776 of the family's 1533-position model. The record is from RNAcentral.
UACGGGGGGAGCAAGCGUUGUUCGGAUUUACUGGGCGUAAAGGGCGCGUAGGCGGCAAUUCAAGUCAGCUGUGAAAUCUCCGGGCUUAACUCGGAACGGUCAGCUGAUACUGCUUUGCUAGAGUGCGGAAGGGGCAAUCGGAAUUCUCGGUGUAGCGGUGAAAUGCGUAGAUAUCGAGAGGAACACCUGAGGUGAAGACGGGUUGCUGGGCCGACACUGACGCUGACAGCGCGAAAGCCAGGGGAGCAAACGGG